UGAGGAAUAUUGGACAAUGGAGGCAACUCUGAUCCAGCCAUGCCGCGUGAAGGACUAAGGCCCUAUGGGUCGUAAACUUCUUUUGACGCAGGGCAAUAAGGACUACGUGUAGUCUGAUGAGAGUAUGCGUCGAAUAAGCAUCGGCUAACUCCGUGCCAGCAGCCGCGGUAAUACGGAGGAUGCAAGCGUUAUCCGGAUUUAUUGGGUUUAAAGGGUGCGUAGGCGGAUGGGUAAGUCAGCGGUGAAAGUUUGUGGCUCAACCAUAAAAUUGCCGUUGAAACUGGAGGGCUUGAGUAUGUUUGGGGCAGGCGGAAUGUGUGGUGUAGCGGUGAAAUGCAUAGAUAUCACGCAGAACUCCGAUCGCGAAGGCAGCUUGCCAAGCC
This 383-nucleotide ribosomal RNA is filed under the name uncultured bacterium. RNAcentral's name for it is "bacterial SSU rRNA". It matches the Rfam family "Bacterial small subunit ribosomal RNA", at positions 355 to 735 of the family's 1533-position model. The record is from RNAcentral.